UACAGAGGGUGCAAGCGUUGUUCGGAAUUAUUGGGCGUAAAGGGAGUGUAGGCGGUGAUUUAAGUCUUCUGUGAAAUCUACGGGCUUAGCCUGUAAAGUGCAGAGGAAACUGGAUGACUAGAGUGUCGGAGAGGAUAGGGGAAUACCCAGUGUAGAGGUGAAAUUCGUAGAGAUUGGGUGGAACACCAGUGGCGAAGGCGCCUAUCUGGCUGACAACUGACGCUGAGACUCGAAAGCAUGGGGAGCAAACAGG
This 253-nucleotide ribosomal RNA is filed under the name uncultured bacterium. RNAcentral describes it as "partial 16S ribosomal RNA". It matches the Rfam family "Bacterial small subunit ribosomal RNA", at positions 524 to 776 of the family's 1533-position model. The record is from RNAcentral.